UACCGCCGUCGUCAGCUUACCCUAUGAAGGCCCCUUAGUAAGCACAAUUGGUACAACCCAAAACGUCAGGUCGAGGUGUAGCGUAUGGAAAGGGAAGAAAUGGGCUACAUUCCUUAAUCACAAGGAAUUACGAAAAAUAUUACUGAAACGUGUAUCUAGAAGGAGGAUUUAGCAGUAAGCAGAAAAUAGAGCGUUCCGCUGAAACUGGCCCUGAAGCGCGCACACACCGCCCGUCACUCUCCCCAAACGCACCCAUGCAAUUUAACUUAAAACCUUUCAACAGCAAAGGGGAGGCAAGUCGUAACAUGGUAAGUGUACCGGAAGGUGCACUUGGCAAAA
RNAcentral lists this ribosomal RNA (339 nucleotides) under Cephalopholis sonnerati (tomato hind). RNAcentral's name for it is "partial 12S ribosomal RNA". It matches the Rfam family "Bacterial small subunit ribosomal RNA", at positions 1044 to 1521 of the family's 1533-position model. The record is from RNAcentral. Lineage: Eukaryota; Metazoa; Chordata; Actinopteri; Perciformes; Serranidae.